GUGAGCUAGCUCCAACAUCUUUUCUACAAAAGUCUUUGUCCUUUGUAACACUACCUAGUACAUAAUCACAUGGUCCAGUUGUGACUCCUCAGCCUUAGCCCAUUAACAGAAAUUCGUAAGAAGGUAAUGGCUGUGUGAAUAAAUGAGAAUUGUAGCCAAAUAGGCUGCCGGGGGUAGUUAUAAAUGUAAGAAUGUUCUUGUUGGGAGAAAUAAAUGUCAUCACAUUUUUUAUUGUACUGGUACAGACGUCGAGGUGUGUUGGUGGUUUGUCCAAUAUCUCGUAACUGGUCAGUGCCAGGGUGGAGAUGGAACCAGACCAUCCUUCCAUUCGCUUCCCUGCUGUGUCAGGCAGGGAUGGACUGGCCGUUAUUCCACAGAGUCCCGUGGCAUAGAUGCCAACAGUAAGGAUUUGUCUAUCAGGUUGGUUUAUCUGGGAAAAUUUUAAAAAUUCUGCUUUUCUUUCCUUUCCCCAGCCUCAUUAUUAAGUAGAUGCCGGAUGGUGAAUUGCAGAUUGCAUUUCAAUUUGUCCAUUCGCUCCGAAAUUUUAUGACCUUGGUUUCACAUCCACAGGGAAAAAUGUUUCCAAAGAAGCUUGAAAAUCAUUGAAGAGAUUGAAUGUGCCUCCAGUAGCCCCCUGGGCUACAUCUAGAGGGCACUGUUGAAGACGCUGUGCUGUCUUACUCUCUGCCUCCCAUGGAUUUUUCAUCCCGUGGGAUAAGCAAAGAACACAGUAGCCGUAACAUCACGCAGGAUAAAAGAGCCACAACGAGAGACUAACAAGGGUAAUUUGCUAUGGGACACUUGACACAGCAGGAAAUGGGGGGAGCAGAAAGCGUAAGAACAGCUGGAACACCUGGAGAAAUACUAUACUUGCACCAGACUGUGGAUUCAACAUCUUCAUUUCGUUUGCUACCUGGACUUCUGAGAGCUGCUGGAAAAAAAUCACCACCCCUAGGUGGACUGAUGCCAUGACAAAUCAUGGUUUCCAGAAUCGCCUGGACUUCCUUUGAACCCAGUUUCCCUGCAUCAGAGAAAACUCUUUCCCUUCCUGCAGUGGCUAUUCUAAAGUUUCGACGCAAUCCUCACAUCCUUUGUCUUCCUCACAUCUCAUCUGCUUUUAGCAAAUGGCCUCACUAUGAAAAUCAUGACUGUCAGCUAUAAACCACCUUUAUUUCCAGCCCACACACUGACAAGGUCUUUAUACAUGCAAAUGCUUCAGUCUCUUUUCCUGCAGUCCAAGAAGAUGA
This is a long non-coding RNA of Acinonyx jubatus (cheetah), 1247 nucleotides long. RefSeq lists it as uncharacterized. The record is from RefSeq and is a predicted model, not a curated record. The transcript has 4 exons. NCBI's taxonomy places the organism in Eukaryota, Metazoa, Chordata, Mammalia, Carnivora, Felidae.